AACGCUAGCUACAGGCUUAACACAUGCAAGUCGAGGGGCAUCAGGGUAGCAAUACCGCUGGCGACCGGCGCACGGGUGAGUAACACGUAUCCAACCUACCGUUAACUCGGGGAUAGCCUUUCGAAAGAAAGAUUAAUACCCGAUAGUAUAUUUUCUUCGCAUGUUGAAAAUAUUAAAGAAUUUCGGUUAUCGAUGGGGAUGCGUUCCAUUAGGCAGUUGGCGGGGUAACGGCCCACCAAACCUACGAUGGAUAGGGGUUCUGAGAGGAAGGUCCCCCACAUUGGAACUGAGACACGGUCCAAACUCCUACGGGAGGCAGCAGUGAGGAAUAUUGGUCAGUGGACGAAGGUCUGAACCAGCCAAGUAGCGUGAAGGAUGACUGCCCUAUGGGUUGUAAACUUCUUUUAUAUGGGAAUAAAGUUCUCCACGUGUGGAGUUUUGUAUGUACCAUUAUGAAUAAGCAUCGGCUAACUCCGUGCCAGCAGCCGCGGUAAUACGGAGGAUGCGAGCGUUAUCCGGAUUUAUUGGGUUUAAAGGGAGCGUAGGUGGACUGGUAAGUCAGUUGUGAAAGUUUGCGGCUCAACCGUAAAAUUGCAGUUGAUACUGUCAGUCUUGAGUACAGUAGAGGUGGGCGGAAUUCGUGGUGUAGCGGUGAAAUGCUUAGAUAUCACGAAGAACUCCGAUUG
This 686-nucleotide ribosomal RNA is filed under the name uncultured bacterium. Its description in RNAcentral is "bacterial SSU rRNA". It matches the Rfam family "Bacterial small subunit ribosomal RNA", at positions 32 to 715 of the family's 1533-position model. The record is from RNAcentral.